CCGACCUUAGCUCAGUUGGUAGUGCAGAGGACUGUAGUUUGAUUAAUCUAAAUUGGAAAUCCUUAGGUCGCUGGUACUAAUCCGGCAGGUCGGA
This is a transfer RNA of Ipomoea nil (Japanese morning glory), 94 nucleotides long. It matches the Rfam family "tRNA". Rfam says of the family: Transfer RNA (tRNA) molecules are approximately 80 nucleotides in length. The record is from Rfam. NCBI's taxonomy places the organism in Eukaryota, Viridiplantae, Streptophyta, Magnoliopsida, Solanales, Convolvulaceae.